CCUACGGGAGGCAGCAGUAAGGAAUAUUGGUCAAUGGACGCAAGUCUGAACCAGCCAUGCCGCGUGAAGGAUUAAGGUCCUCUGGAUUGUAAACUUCUUUUAUAUGGGACGAAAACAGAUCUUUCCAGGUCCUUUGACGGUACCAUAUGAAUAAGCACCGGCUAACUCCGUGCCAGCAGCCGCGGUAAUACGGAGGGUGCAAGCGUUAUCCGGAUUCACUGGGUUUAAAGGGUGCGUAGGCGGGUAGGUAAGUCAGUGGUGAAAUCCUGGAGCUCAACUCCAGAACUGCCAUUGAUACUAUCUAUCUUGAAUAUUGUGGAGGUAAGCGGAAUAUGUCAUGUAGCGGUGAAAUGCUUAGAUAUGACAUAGAACACCCAUUGCGAAGGCAGCUUACUACGCAUAUAUUGACGCUGAGGCACGAAAGCGUGGGGAUCAAACAGGAUUAGAUACCCUGGUAGUCCACGCCCUAAACGAUGGAUACUCGACAUACGCGAUACACAGUGUGUGUCUGAGCGAAAGCAUUAAGUAUCCCACCUGGGAAGUACGUUCGCAAGAAUGAAACUCAAAGGAAUUAGACGG
This 579-nucleotide ribosomal RNA is filed under the name uncultured bacterium. Its description in RNAcentral is "bacterial SSU rRNA". It matches the Rfam family "Bacterial small subunit ribosomal RNA", at positions 338 to 917 of the family's 1533-position model. The record is from RNAcentral.